GUCCACGCCGUAAACGAUGAGUGCUAGACGUUGGGCGGUCACCGCUCAGUGUCGUAGCUAACGCGUUAAGCACUCCGCCUGGGGAGUACGGUCGCAAGAUUAAAACUCAAAGGAAUUGACGGGGGCCCGCACAAGCGGUGGAGCAUGUGGUUUAAUUCGACGCAACGCGAAGAACCUUACCAGGCCUUGACAUGGGGAGUAUGGAUUCCUGAAAGGGGAUCAUUCAGUUCGGCUGGCUCCCACACAGGUGCUGCAUGGCUGUCGU
Molecule: ribosomal RNA, 265 nt
Filed under: uncultured bacterium
Lineage: Bacteria
Description: partial 16S ribosomal RNA
Rfam family: Bacterial small subunit ribosomal RNA
Source: RNAcentral